GUGCUCACUUUGGCAGCACAUGUACUAAAGCUGGAACCAGACAGAGAAGAUUAGCACGGUCCCUGCACAAGGAUCACAUGCAAAUUUGUGAAGCGUUCCAUAUACAA
This is a small nuclear RNA of Ursus americanus (American black bear), 107 nucleotides long. Lineage: Eukaryota; Metazoa; Chordata; Mammalia; Carnivora; Ursidae. The record is from Ensembl.